This is a non-coding RNA of Schizopora paradoxa, 72 nucleotides long. NCBI's taxonomy places the organism in Eukaryota, Fungi, Basidiomycota, Agaricomycetes, Hymenochaetales, Schizoporaceae. The record is from the annotation of a GenBank genome assembly.
GUCCCUGUCGAUUAGUGGUUAAAUCAUCUCGUUGUGGCCGAGAAGCCGGGUGUUCGACUCACCCCAGAGACA